This 520-nucleotide ribosomal RNA is filed under the name uncultured Glomus. RNAcentral describes it as "SSU rRNA". It matches the Rfam family "Eukaryotic small subunit ribosomal RNA", at positions 569 to 1088 of the family's 1831-position model. The record is from RNAcentral. Lineage: Eukaryota; Fungi; Glomeromycota; Glomeromycetes; Glomerales; Glomeraceae.
AGCAGCCGCGGUAAUUCCAGCUCCAAUAGCGUAUAUUAAAGUUGUUGCAGUUAAAAAGCUCGUAGUUGAAUUUCGGGAUCAAUAUAUCGGUCGUGCCAUUGGUACGUACUGGUAUCAUUGGUUUCCCUUCCUUCGACGAACCAUGAUGUCAUUAAUUUGGCGUUAUGGGAAGUUAGGACUGUUACUUUGAAAAAAUUAGAGUGUUUAAAGCAGGCUUUAGCUUGAAUACAUUAGCAUGGAAUAAUGAAAUAGGACGUUCGAACCUAUUUUGUUGGUUUCUAGGAUCAACGUAAUGAUUAAUAGGGAUAGUUGGGGGGCAUUAGUAUUCAAUUGUCAGAGGUGAAGUUCUUGGAUUUAUUGAAGACUAACUACUGCGAAAGCAUUUGCCAAGGAUGUUUUCAUUAAUCAAGAACGAAAGUUAGGGGAUCGAAGACGAUCAGAUACCGUCGUAGUCUUAACCAUAAACUAUGCCGACUAGGGAUCGGAUGAUGUUAAUUUUUUAAUGACUCAUUCGGCGCCU